This 981-nucleotide ribosomal RNA is filed under the name uncultured organism. Its description in RNAcentral is "bacterial SSU rRNA". It matches the Rfam family "Bacterial small subunit ribosomal RNA", at positions 105 to 1083 of the family's 1533-position model. The record is from RNAcentral.
GGUGAGUAACACGUAAGAACCUACCCUUCGGACUGGGAUAACAUCCUGAAAGGGAUGCUAAUACCGGAUAUUAUCUAUGGAUGAAAGAGGGCUUCGGCUUUCACCGAGGGAUGGGCUUGCGGCCCAUUAGCUUGUUGGUAAGGUAAUGGCUUACCAAGGCGACGAUGGGUAGCCGGCCUGAGAGGGUGUACGGCCACACUGGAACUGAGACACGGUCCAGACUCCUACGGGAGGCAGCAGUGGGGAAUAUUGGUCAAUGGGCGAAAGCCUGAACCAGCAAUGCCGUGUGGGCGAUGAAGCUUUUAGGAGUGUAAAGCCCUUUUCUAGGGGAAGAACCGCUUUGGGACGAAUAAUCCCAUAGCCUGACGGUACCUUAGGAAUAAGCCCCGGCUAACUCCGUGCCAGCAGCCGCGGUAAUACGGAGGGGGCGAGCGUUGUUCGGAAUCACUGGGCGUAAAGGGCGCGUAGGCGGCCUUGCAGGUCAGAUGUGAAAGCCCCGGGCUUAACCCGGGAAUUGCGUUUGAAACCUCAGGGCUUGAGGCCGGGAGAGGGAAGUGGAAUUCCUGGUGUAGCGGUGAAAUGCGUAGAUAUCAGGAGGAACACCGGUGGCGAAGGCGGCUUCCUGGACCGGUACUGACGCUGAGUCGCGAAAGCGUGGGGAGCGAACGGGAUUAGAUACCCCGGUAGUCCACGCUGUAAACGUUGAGCACUAGAUGUAGCGGGUAUCGACCCCUGCUGUGUCGCAGCUAACGCAUUAAGUGCUCCGCCUGGGGACUACGGUCGCAAGACUGAAACUCAAAGGAAUUGACGGGGGCCCGCACAAGCGGUGGAGUAUGUGGUUUAAUUCGAUGCAACGCGAAGAACCUUACCAGGGCUUGACAUACUGGUGGUACUGAUCUGAAAGGUGAAGGACCUCUUCGGAGGAGCCAGUACAGGUGCUGCAUGGCUGUCGUCAGCUCGUGUCGUGAGAUGUUGGGUUAA